GCAUGUAAAUAAAUGGAUUCCACAGAAGAGUGAGGCCUCAUCUCAGCCUGCUGCCUGGGCACUGAAACUCACCCUGAGCUGUCUCAUUAGCCCAGAAUCUUGCACUUGGAAGACAGUAGAUCAACGUCUUCUCGCUCUACAGGUCACCACCCUCAGACUUUGUCUUCAGGAAGAAAUGCUUCCAGAGAACAUCACCUAAGAACAAGGGCAUUCUCUUACAUAACCACAGCAUAAUUACCAAAAUCAGUCCACUUGUUCCCGUUAAAUAUUGAAGCCGUCAAAAUCAUCUUUCAAGAAAGGCACAGACCUGUCUCCUGGUCACAUCCUCGACCUUGGCAAAAUAAACUUCAAAACUGAUUGAGACCUGUCUCAUGAAUUCCUGAGAAAAACCUAUUUGCAUGAAUUCAUGAGCAGUUUAAUUUAUUAAAUCAUGAAUAUAUAACAUUACAUCAAUAGAACCAAUAAGAAAAAACAUACAAUAUCCUCUAUGCUGAGAAAGUGGCAGAAGAAUUUAAUACCCAUUUCUUGGAAAAUGAAAUAUUGGAAUAUACAGAAAAGUGAAAAAUCAAAAAGGGUGGUGUUGGCAAAAAAAGACUGGAUAGAUGGAAGGAACAAUGGAGGUGAUACAGAAUGUAGCAUGUGAAGAAGCAGAAUGAAAAAGGAUACAUCACAAAUCAAACAGAAAAAUUUACUAAAUCACUUUUUAUCUACUUCCACAAUAAUGCUGUAAAGAAAACCACUUCAAAGCUUGGUGGAGCAAAGCAAUAAACAUUUAUGAUUGCUCAUGAGCCUAGGGUCAGCUGGGUGGUUCUUCUGGUUGGGACAGGGCAAGGGUGAUCUUGGUUAGGCUCACUCAGCUGGAGGGUUGUUGACUGGUGACUGGAUGAUCUAAGAUGGUUAUGCCUGGGACAGAUAUAAAUAUAGAAGAAAGUAGAAAUUUGGUUUUGUUUGUAGCUCCUCUUAAAAUAUCCUAUCUGAUUUAAAAGACUACUGCCUAAUGCAAUAAUUGUACAUCUAAGUAGAUUGAUACACAAUGUAUUAAGGCCUCAAAAUAUAUGAAGAUGUAUAUUGGGACCAUAACAGCCCUAAGGGGUAGGGGAA
Molecule: long non-coding RNA, 1101 nt
Filed under: Homo sapiens (human)
Lineage: Eukaryota; Metazoa; Chordata; Mammalia; Primates; Hominidae
Description: HSALNT0392998
Source: RNAcentral